AUAAGGUUAAGUUAGAUUAGACUAAAUGUUUUCAAAACAUUAAGUGACUUUGUUUGAGUCAUCUUAUG
Molecule: transfer RNA, 68 nt
Filed under: Taenia multiceps
Lineage: Eukaryota; Metazoa; Platyhelminthes; Cestoda; Cyclophyllidea; Taeniidae
Description: tRNA-Trp
Source: RNAcentral